AUUGCUUCUCAGCCUUUUGGCUAAGAUCAAGUGUAGUAUCUGAAUGCUAGAGCUGCUAGAAAGAAAAAUUAAAGGGUAUAAAAUUUUCAUAAGAAAUAAUGUAU
Heterocephalus glaber (naked mole-rat) is the source of this 104-nucleotide small nuclear RNA. Its record names the gene U2. It matches the Rfam family "U2 spliceosomal RNA". Rfam says of the family: U2 is a small nuclear RNA (snRNA) component of the spliceosome (involved in pre-mRNA splicing). Complementary binding between U2 snRNA (in an area lying towards the 5' end but 3' to hairpin I) and the branchpoint sequence (BPS) of the intron results the bulging out of an unpaired adenosine, on the BPS, which initiates a nucleophilic attack at the intronic 5' splice site, thus starting the first of two transesterification reactions that mediate splicing. Lineage: Eukaryota; Metazoa; Chordata; Mammalia; Rodentia; Bathyergidae. The record is from Ensembl.